RNAcentral lists this long non-coding RNA (492 nucleotides) under Mytilus galloprovincialis (Mediterranean mussel). The record is from RNAcentral. Lineage: Eukaryota; Metazoa; Mollusca; Bivalvia; Mytilida; Mytilidae.
GUCGUUCAUAAGUCAUUUAUUCUAAAUAAUUUUCAAAAGCGGGAGUUUGUCUGACAAUAGUAACAAAUUGAGUAGAAAAAUCCUCAAUUGUUUUUAAAUUCAGAUUAUAUUUUAUCACAUAUUAGCUGCAUCAGAUAAAAAUUUACUAUAUGCAAGUGCAUGUACAUACAACAGAUACAGUUAAGUCACCCUCAUAUCUUGACUUACAUCUAGAAAUUGACAAUGAGGGUCAGUUGAAAACAAAACUUUAUGACAAAACAUGAUUUCAGCUUUCCAAUUGUGAACUUUCUGUUUACAGCGGCACCUGCAUAUGGGGUAAAUAUCUCUCAAUUGAUACGAUAUUCCCGUGCUUGCAUUUCCUAUCAUUAUUUUCUUGAUAGAGGGUUGCUGCUCACAAGGAAGCUAUUAAACCAAGAGUUCCAAAUGGUGAAGUUGAAAUCAUCCCUUCGUUAUAAUAAUAAUAUAUAAAAGUAUUACCCUAUUCUAUUUACA